GACGAACGCUGGCGGCGUGCUAAACACAUGCAAGUCGAACGAACCCGGAGCUUGCUCCGGUGGAUUAGUGGCGAACGGGUGAGUAACACGUGAGUAACCUGCCCUUGACUCUGGGAUAACUGCGGGAAACUGUAGCUAAUACCGGAUACGACCCUCGGCGGCAUCGCCAGGGGGUGGAAAGAAUUUCGGUCAAGGAUGGACUCGCGGCCUAUCAGCUAGUUGGUGAGGUAACGGCUCACCAAGGCGACGACGGGUAGCCGGCCUGAGAGGGUGAGCGGCCACACUGGGACUGAGACACGGCCCAGACGCCUACGGGAGGCAGCAGUGGGGAAUCUUGCACAAUGGGCGCAAGCCUGAUGCAGCAACGCCGCGGGAGGGAUGACGGCCUUCGGGUUGUAAACCUCUUUUAGUAGGGAAGAAGCGAAAGUGACGGUACCUGCAGAAAAAGCACCGGCUAACUACGUGCCAGCAGCCGCGGUAA
Molecule: ribosomal RNA, 481 nt
Filed under: uncultured bacterium
Lineage: Bacteria
Description: partial 16S ribosomal RNA
Rfam family: Bacterial small subunit ribosomal RNA
Source: RNAcentral